Molecule: ribosomal RNA, 513 nt
Filed under: uncultured bacterium
Lineage: Bacteria
Description: partial 16S ribosomal RNA
Rfam family: Bacterial small subunit ribosomal RNA
Source: RNAcentral
GACGAACGCUGGCGGCAUGCCUAAUACAUGCAAGUCGAGCGAACAGAUGAAGUGCUUGCACUUCUGACGUUAGCGGCGAACGGGUGAGUAACACGUAAGGAAUCUACCUAUAAGCGGGGGAUAACAUUUGGAAACGGGUGCUAAUACCGCAUAAUAUCUUCUUCCGCAUGGAAGAAGAUUGAAAGACGGCUCUGCGGUCACUUAUAGAUGACCGCGCGGUGCAUUAGUUAGUUGGUGGGGUAACGGCCUACCAAGACGAUGAUGCAUAGCCGACCUGAGAGGGUGAUCGGCCACAUUGGGACUGAGACACGGCCCAAACUCCUACGGGAGGCAGCAGUAGGGAAUCUUCCGCAAUGGGCGAAAGCCUGACGGAGCAAUGCCGCGUGAGUGAAGGAGGCCUUCGGGUCGUAAAACUCUGUUAUAAGAGAAGAACAAAUUGUAGAGUAACUGCUACAGUCUUGACGGUAUCUUAUCAGAAAGCCACGGCUAACUACGUGCCAGCCGCCGCGGUAA